UGGGGAAUAUUGGGCAAUGGGCGCAAGCCUGACCCAGCAACGCCGCGUGAAGGAAGAAGGCUUUCGGGUUGUAAACUUCUUUUCUGAGGGACGAUAGUGACGGUACCUCAGGAAUAAGCCACGGCUAACUACGUGCC
Molecule: ribosomal RNA, 137 nt
Filed under: uncultured bacterium
Lineage: Bacteria
Description: partial 16S ribosomal RNA
Rfam family: Bacterial small subunit ribosomal RNA
Source: RNAcentral